AGCUCUGAGGUGUAUGAACAUAUCAGAUUGCAAAUCUGAAGAAGCUGAGUAACGUCAGCCGGGGCUU
RNAcentral lists this transfer RNA (67 nucleotides) under Fowleria isostigma. Its description in RNAcentral is "tRNA-Cys". The record is from RNAcentral. Lineage: Eukaryota; Metazoa; Chordata; Actinopteri; Kurtiformes; Apogonidae.